GACAGGUUCAGUUGUUCAUCACUUAAUCCCCCACUGGUUUGAGGUGUUCACUGCAUCUACUUGCUCCUAUCGUUUAUUCUUGCCUUAUCAUUGGUUCUCUUGGAAUAUGCUCAUAUUGACAGUUUUUCUUCUGUCUUUGUUGGAGCAGGAGAUGGUGUGGCAAGGCAGGGGACUGGGGAGUGCAUGAUGCUAAUCAAUUCCAGUAUGUACGCCACAGUGCCUCUUCCCUUCUUUUCUGGUAUAUCAAUCCAUUUCGCAUAUAUGCAGCCACCCACUGAAAUAGCAUAUUCUUAUUGCAAUCCAUACAUGAAGAUCUAUUGGAGGUGUGCAGCAAGGACACGCCACAUAAUUUUUGCUGGUCUUACAAAAGCCAUGUCCUGGCAGCACCAAGGGACAAAGCAUCGAUGACUGCGACCUCGCUGACUUUGCAAUGUCCUAGUUCUUUAAAGAGUAAUUGCUUGCUUAUUUGUUGACAAAAGGUGGGGAGAGGAACUUGAGCGACUCUUGGCACAUAUCUUAAAGAUUUGUUGCAUACAGUUU
Lolium perenne is the source of this 540-nucleotide long non-coding RNA. RefSeq lists it as uncharacterized. NCBI's taxonomy places the organism in Eukaryota, Viridiplantae, Streptophyta, Magnoliopsida, Poales, Poaceae. The record is from RefSeq and is a predicted model, not a curated record.